UAUCAACCGUAGUGAUGAUAUGUUUAACUUUAAAUACGCUAGAUCACCUCCAAUAAUAAGUUUUUAAUAUUUAUUAUUUUAUAAUAUGUUUAAAACGUUUUUAAGAAUUCUGCAAUACUCAUGUUUUAAAAUUAUUUUAAUUCAUUUUAACUAGAAUAUUUUCAAUCCAUUUAUAUUUUAGAGAUCUCUAUUUUUUAAAAAUAAAAUAAAAUUUUAUUUUGUUGUGACGUUCAUAUAAUAGAAAAUUCUAUAUUUUUCUAUAAAUAGAUGAAUACUAUAUUUAUAUUUAUUUUUAUUGUUUAUACUAUGAUAGGAAUCUCUAGAAUAUAAAUAGAUUGAAAAUACUGUGACUACUUUAUUGUUUUCUGCUAGUCUUGUGACAAAUUUCUUUUUAUCUUUUAAAAGUUACACAUGAUAACUUCUGCUACUUUCUUUCAAUUAGGUUCGCGUGUAAAAUGUUAUAAACGGUAAUUUUGAAUUUUGGGAUAAACUGAGUAAUAAUUUAACCUCGAUACGCAUCGGAUUAAUCUCACCGGCCACUAUUGUUUUUUUACAAUCUCUUUCUCUGCGGUCAAAGAAAACAGAGAAUCCAUCCACAC
Molecule: long non-coding RNA, 599 nt
Filed under: Brassica napus (rape)
Lineage: Eukaryota; Viridiplantae; Streptophyta; Magnoliopsida; Brassicales; Brassicaceae
Description: long non-coding RNA (BNAP_LNC000024)
Source: RNAcentral